RNAcentral lists this ribosomal RNA (443 nucleotides) under uncultured bacterium. RNAcentral describes it as "partial 16S ribosomal RNA". It matches the Rfam family "Bacterial small subunit ribosomal RNA", at positions 338 to 795 of the family's 1533-position model. The record is from RNAcentral.
CCUACGGGAGGCAGCAGUGGGGAAUAUUGGGCAAUGGGCGCAAGCCUGACCCAGCAACGCCGCGUGAAGGAAGAAGGCUUUCGGGUUGUAAACUUCUUUUCUCAGGGACGAAGCAAGUGACGGUACCUGAGGAAUAAGCCACGGCUAACUACGUGCCAGCAGCCGCGGUAAUACGUAGGUGGCAAGCGUUAUCCGGAUUUACUGGGUGUAAAGGGCGUGUAGGCGGGAAAGCAAGUCAGAUGUGAAAACCAUGGGCUCAACCUGUGGCCUGCAUUUGAAACUGUUUUUCUUGAGUACUGGAGAGGCAGACGGAAUUCCUAAUGUAGCGGUGAAAUGCGGAGAUAUUAGGAGGAACACCAGUGGCGAAGGCGGUCUGCUGGACAGCAACUGACGCUGAGGCGCGAAAGCGUGGGGAGCAAACAGGAUUAGAUACCCUUGUAGUC